This 484-nucleotide ribosomal RNA is filed under the name uncultured bacterium. Its description in RNAcentral is "partial 16S ribosomal RNA". It matches the Rfam family "Bacterial small subunit ribosomal RNA", at positions 30 to 507 of the family's 1533-position model. The record is from RNAcentral.
AUUGAACGCUGGCGGCAGGCCUAACACAUGCAAGUCGAGCGGAUGAAGGGAGCUUGCUCCUGGAUUCAGCGGCGGACGGGUGAGUAAUGCCUAGGAAUCUGCCUGGUAGUGGGGGAUAACGUCAGGAAACGGGCGCUAAUACCGCAUACGUCAUGAGGGAGAAAGUGGGGGAUCUUCGGACCUCACGCUAUCAGAUGAGACUAGGUCGGAUUAGCUAGUUGGUGGGGUAAAGGCCUACCAAGGCGACGAUCCGUAACUGGUCUGAGAGGAUGAUCAGUCACACUGGAACUGAGACACGGUCCAGACUCCUACGGGAGGCAGCAGUGGGGAAUAUUGGACAAUGGGCGAAAGCCUGAUCCAGCCAUGCCGCGUGUGUGAAGAAGGUCUUCGGAUUGUAAAGCACUUUAAGUUGGGAGGAAGGGCAGUAAGUGAAUACCUUCCUGUUUUGACGUUACCAACAGAAUAAGCACCGGCUAACUUCGUG